This 86-nucleotide transfer RNA is filed under the name Holophaga sp. Its description in RNAcentral is "tRNA-Leu". It matches the Rfam family "tRNA". Rfam says of the family: Transfer RNA (tRNA) molecules are approximately 80 nucleotides in length. The record is from RNAcentral. Lineage: Bacteria; Pseudomonadati; Acidobacteriota; Holophagae; Holophagales; Holophagaceae.
GCCCCCAUGGCGGAACGGCAGACGCAGGUGACUUAAAAUCACCCUCCAGCAAUGGAAUCCCGGUUCGAAUCCGGGUGGGGGCACCA